GAAGCCGGAAUUGCUAGUAAUGGCAGGUCAGCAUACUGCCGUGAAUACGUUCCCGGGCCUUGUACACACCGCCCGUCACACCAUGAGAGUUGGGGGCGCCCGAAGCCACUUAGCUAACCCAUUUGGGAAGCGAGUGUCGAAGGUGAAAUCAAUAACUGGGGUGAAGUCGUAACAAGGUACC
RNAcentral lists this ribosomal RNA (181 nucleotides) under uncultured bacterium. Its description in RNAcentral is "partial 16S ribosomal RNA". It matches the Rfam family "Bacterial small subunit ribosomal RNA", at positions 1322 to 1500 of the family's 1533-position model. The record is from RNAcentral.